RNAcentral lists this ribosomal RNA (1516 nucleotides) under uncultured bacterium. RNAcentral's name for it is "bacterial SSU rRNA". It matches the Rfam family "Bacterial small subunit ribosomal RNA". The record is from RNAcentral.
GAGUUUGAUCCUGGCUCAGGAUGAACGCUAGCGGCAGGCCUAACACAUGCAAGUCGAGGGGUAAUUUUGAUAGCAAUAUUGAAAACGACCGGCGCACGGGUGAGUAUCGCGUUUGCAACCUACCUCUGACCGGGGCAUAGCCCGGAGAAAUUCGGAUUAAUUUCCCAUAAUACCAUGAGAAGGCAUCUUUUCAUGUUUAAAGCUCAGGCGGUCAGAGAUGGGCAUGCGUACCAUUAGCUUGUUGGUGAGGUAACGGCUCACCAAGGCUACGAUGGUUAGGGGGUCUGAGAGGAUGAUCCCCCACACUGGUACUGAGACACGGACCAGACUCCUACGGGAGGCAGCAGUGAGGAAUAUUGGGCAAUGGGCGCAAGCCUGACCCAGCCAUGCCGCGUGCAGGAUGACGGCGCUAUGCGUUGUAAACUGCUUUUGUUCGGGAAGAAAUCCAUCUACGUGUAGGUGGUUGACGGUACCGAAUGAAUAAGCAUCGGCUAACUCCGUGCCAGCAGCCGCGGUAAUACGGAGGAUGCAAGCGUUAUCCGGAUUCAUUGGGUUUAAAGGGUGCGUAGGCGGAGUACUAAGUCAGCGAUGAAAUCCUGCAGCUUAACUGUAGAACUGUCAUUGAUACUGGUAUUCUUGAAUGCAGUUGAAGUAGGCGGAAUGUGUAGUGUAGCGGUGAAAUGCUUAGAUAUUACACAGAACACCGAUUGCGAAGGCAGCUUACUAAACUGUGAUUGACGCUGAGGCACGAAAGCGUGGGGAGCAAACAGGAUUAGAUACCCUGGUAGUCUACGCCGUAAACUAUGAUUACUCGCUGUUGGCGAUAUAUUGUCAGUGGCUGAGCGAAAGCAUUAAGUAAUCCACCUGGGGAGUACGAUCGCAAGGUUGAAACUCAAAGGAAUUGACGGGGGCCCGCACAAGCGGAGGAACAUGUGGUUUAAUUCGAUGAUACGCGAGGAACCUUACCUGGGCUUAAAUGUAGAGCGACAGACUGGGAAACCGGUCCUUCUUCGGACGAUCUACAAGGUGCUGCAUGGUUGUCGUCAGCUCGUGCCGUGAGGUGUCGGGUUAAGUCCCAUAACGAGCGCAACCCUUAUCGUUAGUUGCCAGCGGGUAAUGCCGGGGACUCUAGCGAAACUGCCGGUGUAAACCGUGAGGAAGGUGGGGAUGACGUCAAAUCAGCACGGCCCUUAUGUCCAGGGCGACACACGUGUUACAAUGGCCGGUACAGAGGGCAGCUACCUGGUAACAGGAUGCAAAUCUCUAAAACCGGUCUCAGUUCGGAUCGAAGUCUGCAACUCGACUUCGUGAAGCUGGAUUCGCUAGUAAUCGCGCAUCAGCCAUGGCGCGGUGAAUACGUUCCCGGGCCUUGUACACACCGCCCGUCAAGCCAUGGAAGCCGGGGGUACCUGAAGUCCGUAACCGCAAGGAGCGGCCUAGGGUAAAACUGGUGACUGGGGCUAAGUCGUAACAAGGUAGCCGUACCGGAAGGUGUGGCCUGGAUCACCUCCUUUCU